This 254-nucleotide ribosomal RNA is filed under the name uncultured bacterium. RNAcentral describes it as "partial 16S ribosomal RNA". It matches the Rfam family "Bacterial small subunit ribosomal RNA", at positions 524 to 777 of the family's 1533-position model. The record is from RNAcentral.
UACGAAGGGGGCUAGCGUUGUUCGGAAUUACUGGGCGUAAAGCGUAUGCAGGCGGACUUUUAAGUCGGGGGUGAAAUCCCGAGGCUCAACCUCGGAACUGCCUCCGAUACUGGCAGUCUCGAGUGCGGGAGAGGUGAGUGGAAUUCCCAGUGUAGAGGUGAAAUUCGUAGAUAUUGGGAAGAACACCAGUGGCGAAGGCGGCUCACUGGCCCGUAACUGACGCUGAGGUGCGAAAGCGUGGGGAGCAAACAGGG